RNAcentral lists this unclassified non-coding RNA (853 nucleotides) under Hevea brasiliensis (rubber tree). The record is from RNAcentral. Lineage: Eukaryota; Viridiplantae; Streptophyta; Magnoliopsida; Malpighiales; Euphorbiaceae.
AGUAAAAGCAGUCAGGGUGGAGGUUUUCCCAAUGAGGGUGCUGCUGGGAAUUCAUUUGGUGUUGAGGAUGCAGAUAGUAGUAAACGAAUUGUAAAUGUGUUGGUUGUAUCGUCAACCCCAUCAGAUAUGCCAAAUGAAUGUCGACACAGUAAAGCUUGUGAUUGCUCAUCUCAUAAACAUUUUAAAAGGAAGCUUUUAAAUUUUAGGAUUCCAAAUAUGCAUUUUGGCUCAAAAUUAUUCAGAGCAUCUUUAGGCAUUCGGAAAAAGAAGAAACAUAGAAAGUGCAAGCACCGCUCAUCACGGACCCAGAAUGUCAUUGAAGGACAAUUGCUGGAGAGUAAUUGUUUAUCAUCAGAUGUUGGGCCAUCUACGUCAAAGAUAUCCUUGUCACUUUCAUCGGGCUCAACAAAAUCUCAAAGGAAGAGGGCUAAAUCUCGUUCAAAGUGUAGAGGCGAUACCCUGAUGGAUGCUGUGGAUGAAGGAUUUGAGAAUAGGAACAAUCAGAACAGUGUUCUGGUUGCGAUGGAUAAACAGUUAAAAAAGAGCUCAUUAUCAAUAUCUGAAGUGAACCAACAGGUUGCAAGUGUUCUUGAUUGUACAGAAAUUAGCAAAAAAGAUGUGUCAGAAAAUGCGGUGAUGUGCAUGCUUACUCGAGGUCUAGAAGAGACAUCUGUUGCACAUUGGGAUGGGAUAGAGGUGCCUCAGUCCCAGAUUGUGGAAUCAAGUACUACGGAAAAUCUCUGCAUUGGUUAUGUGCCAGAUGUGUGGGAUGAAGAAUAUGAUCGAGGUAAGAGAAAGAAGUUAAGGCAAACUAAGCACAACUUUGGUGGGCCAAAUCCUUUCCAAGAAAUUG